RNAcentral lists this long non-coding RNA (566 nucleotides) under Mus musculus (house mouse). RNAcentral describes it as "long non-coding RNA chr7:110425036-110425602". The record is from RNAcentral. Lineage: Eukaryota; Metazoa; Chordata; Mammalia; Rodentia; Muridae.
AUGAGCUGGAAGAGGUUAAGUCUCAAAAUGGAGGGCCAUGAUCCAAAGGACUCAGAACAGUUGAGGAAGCCUUUUAUUGGUGAUCUGAGCUUUGAAACUACGGAUGAUAGCUUAAGAGAACAUUUUGAGGAAUGAGGCACACUCACUAAAGUUUGCAGUAAUGAGUGUCCCCAAACAAAACAUUCUAAGGGCUUUGGUUUUAUGACCUACUUUUGUGCUGAAGAGGUGGAUGGUGCAAUGUGUGCUCAGCCACACAUAAGGUUGAUGGGGAUGUGGGAGAACCAGAGAGCUGUUUCUAGAGAGGAUUCUGUAAAGCUGAGUAUCCAUUUAACAGUGAAGAAAAAAAUGCUGGUUAAUAGAUACAGAACAAAAUUUCAAAGAAGAAUCUUUCUUCUUUGAAACGUGUGGCAAGAUUGAAACUAUAGAGGUUAUGGAAGACAGGCAGAGUAGGAAAAAGAGGAUUUGCUUUUUUAACUUUUGAUGACUAUGAUAUGAUAGAUAAAAUUGUUGUUCAGAAACAUCACACUAUUUAAGGGCAGAACUAUGAAGUGAAAAAGGCCCUUUCU